RNAcentral lists this small RNA (1629 nucleotides) under Vigna angularis var. angularis. RNAcentral describes it as "Non-protein coding transcript". The record is from RNAcentral. Lineage: Eukaryota; Viridiplantae; Streptophyta; Magnoliopsida; Fabales; Fabaceae.
GUGCACUACACCGUAAGUCUUUCCCUUUAUUUUAUUUUAUUAUUUUUGUUGUUGUUUGUCUAAUAUAUAGACUUAACGUAUAUUGUAAUUUUUAAAGGAAUUGUGGCACACUUUCUUUUCUUUAGAGACUAAGGCCUUGUCUUACUCCAUUUUGUUAUUUGGCCGUGAACCCUCACCUUGUAAGACCUCAUCAUUCUGUUUAUGAGAAAUUUAUUGAAUGGUGUGUUUUAUUUAAGUAGUCGUUUCAUUUUUACUAAUUGCAUUGUUAUUCUUUGUAAAUUGCAGUUGUGAACUUUUACUAUACAUACGGUGUGUUCAAAGUUGAGGUAGGAUGAAUAUUAUUUUAUAGUUUUGGUAGUUUUAUCAUUAGGAUAUAGGUUUAGGACAAUUUUAAAAUUUUCUGCAUGCUAGAAUAUCAUAAGUGAGUCCCAUUUUGUUUCCUUGUUCUACCAACAAACAAAUCUCAUACUUAAUGAAUCCUGGAAUUCUUCCUGCGAUUGUCCAUAAUGGUAACUGUGCCAGUGCUUCUUUCCUCCGAAGUGAAACUAUUGCAUUUACUGAAUGUGGCUUGUAAGUUUCCAUCCUACAUUCUUUUGCUCCCUGUAUUACCACCUUCAGGUUGUUCACAACAACUUCAGCAUGCUGCUGUUCCAAAAACCCUUGCUUGAUUUUAUGUUGUACGGAAUUCCAUUAAAAAACCUCUUAUUAGGUGGCUUGUAAGAAGAUUAAAAAACCUCUUAUUUGGUGGCUUGUAAGAAGAUUAAAAUGCUAGUAUAUAUUUGACAUUUUGGCCUGAUUCUACUAAUUCAAAAGUAAAUGUACUUGACAUUACUGUAUUGUUAUAUUGUCUAUGUUCUUAAAUGAGACGCUAUUUUAUCAGAGUGACCAAUUUUUCUUUUGUUAAAUCCUCCUUCCAUUGUGAUCGAAUCAUUUUUGUUGAUAGAGAUACCCUGAGAUUUCACGCUUCAAUUAAGUGCAUAAGUUUGAAUGAAUAAGCUUUAAGUGCUCAACUGUGCUAGUUUGGCUUAUUUCAUGGUCUCAUAAUUGAAAGAUUCUGAUUACCGCAGGUGUCUCAUAUGUCUGCAACAAGUGAAGCAAGAGUACUACCUUGUCAAGAAUAAGCUUAAAACACUGUUCAAGCUUGAGCAAUAGAAUGUGGCAGCUGAUGGGUCAAUCCCUACGGAGUUGAGUUUCAGUGGAUGACUGGGUGGAUUUGUAAAGAUGCUUGUGUUAUGAUUCUCAUCUAUAUAUAAACUCCAUCUAACCAAAAUUAAGGGAAUAUGAACUGCACAAAUCAAAUAAAAUUUGAGCAAUUAUAAAUCUGCCCAAGAAUAGGAGUAAAUCCUAGUAAUUAUAUUACAACACAUACCUUAGAUGAUACCGAAGGUCAAGGUCAUGCAAAUGUGAGAAGACCUACAACAGUCAGAUACAAUCGCAAUUUGAGUAUUUUUAACAUAAAAUAAGAACAUAAAGUGUGAUUUUGACAAAGACAGGUAGGAGGCUGAAGAUGUUUGAAAGAGGAGUUAACUCUAAAAGCUUUGGAUUUGCCUCUCCUAAAGUGAACAAGUGUGACAGGUGUAUCACCAUGAUUUAAAUGACUAAAACAAACAGGGAUGAACUGUUAUUUUC